GACCAUGACAGCAAAGUCCUUCUGAAGAGUCAUUCAGUGAAGACUUGGGGGUUGGCAAAGUAGUCAGUUCUGUUUUUGCCCUCUCCUAAUAGUUCAAUGAGUUAAAGGAAAAGAAUGUUUUCACAGAAAAAAAAAAAAGUAUGUUUGUUUGCUUGAAGGAGAUCUGUCUAGCCUUACCUCAUAUCACUUCCCUUCUGGUGAAUCUGAUGGUGAAAUAAGUUUAUUCCUAAGAGAGCUCCCUAAUGCAAUUAAAGUGGGCGUGGCUUCUGCGGGUUUCAUGGCAGGAUGCAUCAGGAAUAUAGAAACUUGGAGACAAAUGUCCUGUGGUUAUUGUUAUGGUCUGAAUGUUUCUACACCCCCAAAUUCAUAUGCUGCCAUUCUAACCCAAGGUGAUGGUAUUAGACGGGGUGUCUUUCGGCAGUGAGGGCAUAAUGCACUUAGGAAGAGACUCAGAGAACUAGCUAGCCCUUUCCACCAUGUGAGAGUGCAACAAGGAACAGACUCUCACCAGACACCAAAUCUGCUGGCCCCUUGAUCUGGGACUUCUCAGUCUCCAGAACUCUGAGAAAUAAAUGCCAAUUGUUUAGAAACUACCAAUUUCAUGGUAUUUUGUUACAGCAACCUGAACAGACUAAGACAGUUACUGAAAAACCCCACUUUAAAUAUGUGAGCAUGGGAGCCCACAUUGCUGGACAGCCUCAUGGUAAAGCUAUCAAAUCCUGCUCUUGGCAUAUUUUGCAGUAGUGUUGUGCCCAGGGAGGGGGGCAGUCAGUCCUGGGGGACGGGCAAUAAGGAGGUGAACUGCUGGCCGAGAACAUAAACACAAUCAUUAUUAAAUUGAUUACAUGUAGUGUGCUUUUUAUUAUUACCAUGUGCCAGCAAUCCUAAACUAUGUCAAUGAUAGAACACCUUCCCAUAAGAAAUAAUUUUUUGUUCUAACUGGUCUAAUUGUUACAGUUAGUGUUACAGUUAGCGUUGAGAGUGUUUUUCCAUUUUUUUUUACUGUGAUAAAAUAUGAUUACCAUUUUAGCCAUGGUUAAGUGUACAGUUCAGUGGCAUGAAACACAUUAAUGUUUAGUUUUAAUAAAAUAUUUGUUAGCUUCAUUUUUUUUUUACAUUUCACAUACAUGAAAUAAGCCAAUCACAAAAAGAUAAAUACUACACAAUUCCACUUAAAUGAGGUUAUCUACAGUGAUCAAAUUCUUAGAAACAAAAAGUAGAAUGGUGGUUACUCCGGACUGGAGGAAGCAGGAAAUGAGAAAUUGUUCAGUGGAUACAGAUUGAGUAUCCUCUCUGAAGAUUUGUAUAUUUAAAAUUUUUUUCUUUAUCUGAUUGAGUUGAUUUGAAGAAUCAGUUUUUGAGCUCUGAGAUUCCACAGCUUGAUCUAUUCCUCUGUUAAUGCUUCCAACACUAUUAUGAAAAUUUUGUAGUGAAUUUUUAAAUUCCAGUUCAGUUUGGUUCUUUUUAAAAAUGGCUAUUUUGUCUUUCAAUUUUUGGGUCAUUUUUACUGGAUUCCUUGGAUUGGGUUUCUACUUCCUCUUGAAUCUUGAUGAGCUUCUUUGGUAUCCAGAUUCUGAAUUCUAUGUCUGUCAUUCCGGACAUUUCAGUCCUUGCUGAGGGGCUAGUAUGCUUAUUUGACGUUUUGAAUUGCCAGAGUUCUUGUGCUGACUCUUUUGAGAGGGCUGGUGUUCCUUUGUCGUCUUGUUUUUAUAUUAUUCAUUUACCUUGAGGGCUUAACUGUGGUAUAUGUUGAGUAUAGUCAAUUGGCUUCAUUUCUGGAUACUUUCAGAGGGCCAAGGCUCUGUAUGGGAUCUUUGUGGCUAGAUUCUUGCUCUGGGUUUUACAGGUGCUCUAUACUGGCAGAAUAUUUUGAAAUUGUAAUUUCGGCGGCAAACCAGUAGAUGGCGCUUAAGAGUAAUUGCCGGCAGGCUCUGACUCAGCGCUGGCUCUUUGGUAUUUUGUAUUCGCAGUCAUGCUCCAUAGUUCAGGGGAGAGAGAUGAUCCUUUUGCCAAGUCCUCUCCUGGCCCUUAGAGGAGCCCCCUCCAAUCACUGGAGCUGCACUUACGUUUCCUUUGUUAGGUGUUCGGAGCUGUGGGGGCUCUCUCCGGCAGAGGCUAAGGCUUGCAGACAGGCCGCAACCCUUCCCUGAAAGGCCCUGAGAGAGACAAGUCUCAUCCCGCGCUGGCCCACGAACUGCUUCUCACUCCUCCCAGUGUUCUGAGUGGAGGCUCCUCCCCCGCGCUUGCGCACCAGCCACAGGUCUCAGCUGGGCACUCCUGAGCUCUGUGCUGCAACCUUGGGGCAUUGGGCUCUGUCUUUCGGCCCCUCGGGGUCAGACCCCUGCUGUGUUGGGGGAUCCGAAGUGCUCCCAAGCUGCCUGGAAAGCAUUCAGGCGGGGUCGCUAGCAAGAACUCAGGCUGGGCAGCGGAGGCGGCACAGUGCACACACUCCUGCAGGAACAACCAGACAGGGGCUUUGGGAGGGGCUGCGUGCAGGGGGUCCCGCAGAACAUAUGCGCCCCAGUCCCGCAGGAAGGACCGCCCUGCUCUCUCUUGGCUCACUGGUGGGGACAGCACUUCCUGGAAUAACGUUGCUUUGGAUUUAACAACAGUUGGGCAAAGGAGGUCGGUAUACAGAUACAGGACAAGAAGAGUGGUGUCAAAGGGAGGCUAAAUCAUUGGUUCUGGCUUCAUCUAAGGAAUUCUUAUGAGAAAUCGAGGGAGAGACUGUCCUGGGAAGUCUGAUGAAACAUGAUCAAGAUAUUUUAACUUCUGUGUUUAGCGCCUUUAAUAGAUUGAGCUAAGAAGUCUAAGCAAUCUUCAGGGCUAAGAAACAAGCUGCACUUGCCAGAGUUGGAUGUUCACACCUUGGUGAUGGCUGAUAUUAAACAGAAUUCUUAAUGAACAAAUCGGCCUUGAAAAGGGAACAUGGUGAAGCAAGACAAAAGAAUUACAAACUUUGACUGAAACUUUCUCCUACCAGGAAUACAGGGACCGCUCACCAGGUUGUGAUGAGAAGGAUCAUCUGAAAUGCUCCAUUGCUCUCAGAAGUUGAGGUAACUUCAUUGGGCCCAAACUGAUAAACUAGGAAUGGCUCAGAAAAUAGCCCCUUAGAAGAACUGUAUGAAGCUUGGAUCCAUUUUUCUGAGAAAAAAGAAAAAUCCCUCCAAUGAUUUGGUGAGGAGUUGAAGACAAAUAUCUUUAUUAUUUAUAAGUAUUCUGGCCAAGACAAUGAGUGUUGGAGUGGGAGGAUGAGGGAAUUUUAUGAUGAACGACAGCACAGCAAGAUGGACAGUAAGGCUCUGUCAUUGCCAUACCAGAUGUACAGAAGUGUUGAUGGUUGUUUCUAGUUUGGGGCUAUUAUGAAGAAAGCUGCUAUGAAGAACAUCCAUGUACAAAUCAUUUUAUGGACACACAUACUCAUUGCUCUUGGGUAAAUAUCUAGGAAUAUGAUUUAUGGAUCAUAG
Molecule: long non-coding RNA, 3467 nt
Filed under: Homo sapiens (human)
Lineage: Eukaryota; Metazoa; Chordata; Mammalia; Primates; Hominidae
Description: HSALNT0378208
Source: RNAcentral